UGGAGUAACGGAGCACAAAAUACACGUCCUCCUGCUGCGACUAUAUGCUAAAUAUAGUCGCAGCAGGAGGACGUGUAUUUUGUGCUCCGUUACUCCA
Paramuricea clavata is the source of this 97-nucleotide non-coding RNA. The record is from the annotation of a GenBank genome assembly. Lineage: Eukaryota; Metazoa; Cnidaria; Anthozoa; Malacalcyonacea; Plexauridae.